UGAGGGCGGAGAAUUAAAGAUUGUAGCUCCACACCUCUGCUUAUUUCCUUUCACUUCAUUUUUCUUGCACUUGCUCCACACAUUUGUUCUUGUCAGUCACAGGCAAGAUGGAAAACGCUCUGCUGAUGACUCUUACGGUGCUCCUGCUCCUUGGAGUUCAAGGAAUCUCAGCUCAGUCCUCGAACAACAUCUCAACCCCCUCAACCCCACGACCCACUAGUGCUACAACCUCCACUACCCUAUGGGCCACAUGUCCGAAAAUCAUAGAAUAUAUUACUAAAUCUGAUCUGUUCCGGCUGAAGGUUAUAUGGAAGGUCAGUCCAUGUGAAGGUCAGCUGUAUGUGUAUUCUCGUGAGCGUCAAGGGCCUUUGUGCUCUAGCAGCGACAUCUCAGCCAGCUGGUGGACUGAAGUGUGUAAGGACAGAAGAUGUGGAGACUUCAAGGGCUUUAUGCACACUUCAAGCCACGCUAAAGGUUUCAAGCUCACAACAAAUAUGACAUUCAUCGAUACUACUAAGUGCAACGGCCUGCGCAUCAUGUGCCAAGAUCCUCUAGGAACAGAGUUGGCUGCUUAUAAAGCAGUAACUGGCAUAUUAAUUUUCUUGAUCUUGGGUGUCAUUCUGGUUCAGUUCAGUCGGCCCACGUACAAAGCCAUCCGCAAAAGAUUUUCACAAAAACGUCAGAAUCGCUGGGUCGGCCCGACUCAGAGCGUGUGCUAUCACAGAGGUCAAGGACCCCCAAACAAAAACACAGACAAGAGACAGUCCUUUCCUGGUUUGGAGAGGCUGACGGUAAACCAGAGCAGAGAGCCCUCAUCCAACAGAAACAGUGACUAUGACUCAUACAGCUGAAGGCCUGUGCUCACAAAAGACUUACUGACCCUAAGCACAACCCUCGUCAUCUACAAUCAGCAGAUUGUUUUACAUUACACGGCUUUGGUUGUUUGGCAAGUCAAGAAAGCUGUAAAUAUCUUUGAAAAAUAUAGCUGAGAAAUUCAUUUAGGAUAAAAUAAAAAUAAUAAUUUAGUCUCAACAUAAGCACAAACGCGCUUACUUGGUAUAGCAUAGCAGGCUUCCUUUUAUUAAUUAUUCAUUGUUUAAUGCUAUGAUUUGCUUGAUUUGAUUUGCUGUGUUUCUUUUGGUAUUGUUUUUAAAUAGUCAGAAACAAAAUGGGAUUUCGCUCAUGUUCUGAAAGAUGAUGGCUUUUUAAAACAUGUUUAUUUAUGCAAGUGAUUGAUUUUUGAGUUGGAGUGUGAAUAAUUUUAAAUAAACGAAAAAGGCAAUCAUUCAGAUCUUCCGUGACUUUUGACUUGGGUGCAGAAUCAGAAUAAAAC
RNAcentral lists this long non-coding RNA (1333 nucleotides) under Sinocyclocheilus grahami. Its description in RNAcentral is "lncRNA (ENSSGRG00000037773.1)". The record is from RNAcentral. Lineage: Eukaryota; Metazoa; Chordata; Actinopteri; Cypriniformes; Cyprinidae.